CUUUAUUCUCCCUUAGAUCUUUAAAUGUUUGAUUCUUUCUUGUAAUUCAGAUUUCAACUCACGUAUUGCCUCAGGGAAGAACUUUCCUGGCUAUAUUACUUGACAUCGCUUCCUCACUAGUUAGGCACACACUUGCUCCCACCAUAGUUACUUUCCCUCACCGCACUGUAUUCUUUUCAUAGCACUUGUCACUAUCUAACAGUACCCUUUAUUUAACUGCUUGAGCUGCGAUUCAAAAAUAAUAAUAAAACCUAGUGAGGUGCUUCCAAGUUAUGAAGGCACACAUAACAAGGCAAUGAAUAUGGAGAUGGAGAUCUGGAGAGCUAUAUGUGUAGCUAAAAGAGAUCGUGGGACACAGGGAUCUGCAGACAAGAAGAAAAUCCUACCUCUCUACAUGUUCUGCAUCUCAAUUUAGCAUCUCCUAUUGUCUGUGGGUUUUUUUUGUUUUUAGUUAAUUAUAAUUUUGACAUAAUUAACCUUCCUUAGGUUCAGUGCGGAAACUUUAGAAAUGUGGCUAAAAUGAAAGCUAAAUUUAGUCAAUUUUUCUAGUUUAAGUUCACUAAAAGCCAUGAUCUCAGCCAUAUUACUUAAGCUCUCUGUCCCUAUCUUCCCCAUGAAGAUAGUAAUUUUAUCUACAUUAAAUACUGGCUCCUGGCCGGGCGCAGUGGCUCACGCCUGUGAUCCCAGCGCUUUGGGAGGUCGAGGUGGGCAGAUCACCUGAGAUUUGGAGUUAGAGACCAGCCUGACCAGCAUGGAGAAACCUCAUCUCUACAAAAAAUACAAAAUUAGUCGGCAUGGUGGUGCAUGCCUGUAGUCCAAGCUACUCAGGAGGCUGAGGCAGAAGAAUCGCUUGAACCCGGGAGGUGGAGGUUGUGGUGAGCCGAGAUCGCACCAUUGCACACCAGAUUGCACUCUAGCCUGCAUAACAAGAGCAAAACUCUGUCUAAAAAAAAAAAAAAAAGUGGCUCCUGAGAUUCAAUGUAUUUAAUAAAGGAUGUAAAACAGUGCUUGUCCCAUAGUAACUGCUUAAAAUGUUGUUUAGUAUUAUUAUUUUCUAUACUAGGACGUAUAUGUUUAUUAUUCUCUUAAAUAAUUUGGCAAAUUGUAG
This 1108-nucleotide long non-coding RNA is filed under the name Homo sapiens (human). Its description in RNAcentral is "HSALNT0056606". Lineage: Eukaryota; Metazoa; Chordata; Mammalia; Primates; Hominidae. The record is from RNAcentral.